GCUGGCGUAGCUCAGUUGGUAGAGCAGCUGAUUUGUAAUCAGCAGGUCACUGGUUCAAGUCCAGUCGCCAGCUCCA
This 76-nucleotide transfer RNA is filed under the name Candidatus Babelota bacterium. RNAcentral describes it as "tRNA-Thr". It matches the Rfam family "tRNA". Rfam says of the family: Transfer RNA (tRNA) molecules are approximately 80 nucleotides in length. Their secondary structure includes four short double-helical elements and three loops (D, anti-codon, and T loops). Further hydrogen bonds mediate the characteristic L-shaped molecular structure. tRNAs have two regions of fundamental functional importance: the anti-codon, which is responsible for specific mRNA codon recognition, and the 3' end, to which the tRNAs corresponding amino acid is attached (by aminoacyl-tRNA synthetases). tRNAs cope with the degeneracy of the genetic code in two manners: having more than one tRNA (with a specific anti-codon) for a particular amino acid; and 'wobble' base-pairing, i.e. permitting non-standard base-pairing at the 3rd anti-codon position. RNAcentral also lists the same sequence under 4 other names. The record is from RNAcentral.